Molecule: non-coding RNA, 404 nt
Organism: Gopherus flavomarginatus (Mexican gopher tortoise)
Lineage: Eukaryota; Metazoa; Chordata; Testudines; Testudinidae
Source: the annotation of a RefSeq genome assembly
UCACACUUCAUGCUUCUGAGCUCGGUAUCUGCCACUAACGUAUCAAGAUGAUCUCCCAGACUCAGCUUCUCUGGCUCCUUGUGCUCUGCAUUCAAGACUCCAGUGGGCAGAUCAUAAUGACUCAGACUCCAGAAUCCCUGGCGGUGUCUCCAGGAGACAGAGUCACCAUCAACUGCAAAGCCAGUUCCAAUAUUUAUGGCUACAUAGCCUGGUACCAACAGAAAUCAGGACAAGCUCCUAAGCUCCUUAUCUAUUAUGCUUCCACCCGUCCCUCUGGGAUCCCAGACCGGUUCAGUGGCAGUGGGUCUGGCACUGACUACACAUUCACUAUCAGCAGGUUUGAAGCUGAUGAUGCUGGAGAUUAUUACUGCCAGCAGCAUAGCAGCACCCCUCUCACACAGUGA